Long non-coding RNA from Astatotilapia calliptera (eastern happy), 2424 nucleotides. NCBI's taxonomy places the organism in Eukaryota, Metazoa, Chordata, Actinopteri, Cichliformes, Cichlidae. The record is from Ensembl.
GCUAGCCCAACUUCAGUAACCCUACAAACGUCACUGCUGUUUAGUUUCCUGUCUUCAUUUAUGUUGGAAGUGAUAGCAGAGCUGUACGUUUUAAUUUUUUCAGAAAUCUCUCAGUCAGAACAUGCAAUAUCAUGCUUAGGUAACUAGCGAAACUAGCGAGCUAACUUCCUGCUAGCUUCUAACUUCGUUAAGUGUAAUAAAUUCUGUUUUCAUGGAUGCCUGGAUGUUAAACUUCAUAGUUACACCUGGUAAAGCAGCAAUGCUGAUCGUUUUAUUAAAGAUGAAAGAAUUUAGACAGUUUUUAACUCUCGGUGAUGUUGUUCGUUUGACUUUGGGACAUGAAGGGGACGGAAUUUAUGACCCAGAUUACUCCCAGAUUAUAGGAGCGCGUUAGUCCGACAAAUACGGCAAUAAUGACGGGCUGCUUGCAUGUUCUACAAAAAAAUGUGUGGACAAAUUCCAGUUCCACAUCACUGAAGUGGCACCAUUUUUACAAACUAAUUCUGGUUCAUCCGUUUCACUCAAUGAUCCGCUUUCUCCCUUCUCAUUCUCUGUUGCCGCCAUGCUUUUUCGGCCAUGUGCGUAUGAAAACAAAGGCACUGUGCAUGCGUGUUUUAUCCAUAUUCUAUCGUGAUAUUACAUUUUCUUAUCGUUGCCUAACAUUGUACCGGUAUUACCAUGAACGGUAUAAUAUGGCCCAGCCCUAUUGCCAUCUGUCCUUAAUUGCAUCCCAGCCCCAUAUUUCUGCAAUUUCCAUCUCAACCCACUUAAAGAGUCCAUUCUCGGCCCACUUAUGAAAAUCCUUUGUUGUAGCCCGUCUUGUAUACCAUAAUUUAACUUUAAUCAAAGAUAUCAAAUUCACUACUAGCAACAGAUAUUCUUUCUUUACAUGUAUUCAUGUCAAAAAAUCUUCAUAAGUAAAUAAGGUAAGGCAAGCAAAUAGUCUUUUCAGUAGGUUUCAAAGGGAUCUAACGAACAGGCAAUCCCACGAUCUUAUCUUCAGCCAAAGGUGAGUAAUUAAAAAAAUUCAGAGGAAUAGGAAGUCAAAAUCUGAGAAACACUUGACAUUUAUGAAUAUAUCUUUGAGACACUAAGGUGUACAAGUUGCUGUAAUAAAGCACGUCCAACUUUAAAGGGAUAUGUGGAAUACUUUUACCGCCAUUCUCUAUAGAUUGAUAAAGAGUUUCCUGUUUAAUAUAUUCAUUACCACUCUAAAACAAACUAAACAUUGACCUUGUCAUUUCUUUUCUAACUAAUUCAUGCAUGGCGAAUAUGCAAGCUGGUGUAGCAGGAUAGGAAGUAUAUCCAUUCUCGUUGCCAGUAUUUUGCUACAAAAAAUUGUGACUGGUUGCAGUUACACUGCUAAUAAAUCCAGCUAGUAAAACGUUCGUUGUUUUUCCACAUGUUUAGGGGGGUGCACCGUUCCUGGAGAUACUGCAAUACCAGGUCGAUGCGUGGAGUGGACGGAGCAAGCCCCUAUUCCAUCUCCCUGUUCCAAAAAUCAAUUUAAUAUAUGGUCCCCGGGUAGGGGACGUAUCAGAUAUUAAACUGAUAAGAACAGAUACUACACUUGAUCUUAGCCAAAAGGCCGAGAAGCGAUACCGGGAAUAUGUCGGAGCAGACGGAGUCACCCCCCGCACAGUCUCCCUCACUGACGUUUUCCUUGCAGAACACCCUCUACAUGACAGCAGCAGAUACCAGUCAAAGUCUGACAACAUCCUACCGCUAACAUGCGACAAAGCGCGCCUGGUGUGAGGAAGAAGUCAUUAUCACGAAAAUGGCGACUGUGGUUGAGACCUCCUCACCUAGGGUUGCCAACUCCCUGAAAAAUAAAUAAGGGACACCUCGUGGCCAGGGCCGGGCAACCCAGUUGUCUUCACCCUUCCCAGUGUGGUGAAUUUUCUAGCUCUUUUUUUGUGUGUGAAAUUAUUUUUUUUAACCAUUUGACUUUAAGUUGAUUUAAGUAGAUGCAUAUUCUAUUCUUUGUGAUAUGAACACAUGGGAAACAAAUGAUCAUUUAGCCAUUUAUCUUUAGCUCAAAAUGACAACAUUAACACAGUAAAACAGGUCUCUUUCUUAAACAGAAGCCUGUCAUGCUUAACUUUUGAGAAUAAAAGUAAAUCUUUCUUUAAAAGCACUCUGUCCUGCUUAACUUAAAAUAAUAGAAAACAAUAGAAAGAAAAAUAUUCUUGUAACUGUGCACAUUUAGUGCAUUUAGUACAAUUGGCUUCAGUUGAGGUAUUAUUUCAGCUUUUCUAAUGCUAAUCAGCUGCUCCUGUUUGUAAACCCGCUUGUUCCCAUGAUUACGCAUCAUAACUCAUCAUCAUUAUUCAUCUAUGUAUUACUUUUAUGUAUUAGUCAUCUAUUUGUUGUAAUCAUCUAUCCUUGCAGUUGUUUAUUACACAAAAUAAAUUAUAUUAUCAC